CUCUAUGAGCGGCGGUGGUGGGGAUACCUUCGGGUAUGCCGGUUGCCGUGUGUGCCGGUUCGCCAACCCCACCAUUCGCCGCUCUCCCCG
RNAcentral lists this non-coding RNA (90 nucleotides) under Stentor coeruleus. The record is from RNAcentral. Lineage: Eukaryota; Ciliophora; Heterotrichea; Heterotrichida; Stentoridae.